GGCGGGGCAGGGCAGGGGGGGCGGGGGCAGGGCCUCCCGGCUGCGGCCAAGGCACCUGUCAAAGGCAGAAGAUGCGAGGUCUGACGUUUGCGAGCCUUGCGGCCUUUGAUACAAGCACUUAACAUGGCCUAACGUCCGUUUUCUCAUCCCAGAAUGAGGACGUCACGCGGUUCUAAUCGUUUGGAAACCCUAAAAUACUGCACAGAAACAUGGUUCCCCACUCUUUUCGGAGGCUGUUUUUCUGACCGCAGUUUUAGGGGUGUGGGGACCUCCAAGACCGGCUCGGUGGUUAUUGGAGGAAACUUUGACAGCUCCGCCCGGCGGCCUCUGAGCCUCUGAAUCCGCCGCCCCGCCGCCCCCUCUGCCACUCUAGCUUUCUCCAACUGCAACCUGGAUUCCACUGCUCCCGGUAAGGAAAUUGAGGUUCAGAAGUUAAAAAACUUGUCCAAGAUGACUGAAACAGCAUGUGACAGAGGGGACCACUCUCUACAAUACAUCAUGCUGUCUUCUAUGGUGGUCAGAAUGAUGAGUUCAUAUCAAGUUCCACCUCUUCUGUGAAGCAGGUCCUGCUGAUUUCCAGUCUUUACCAGACUCUCUUGCCUUGAGAAUCCCACAGCACUUAAAAGAGGGCAUAAGGAAGAAGUGGAAGAUGCUGAGCAAAGAACAAAACCAUCUUUCCAACUAGCAAAGACUCCAGAUAAUCAAUUUACAAAUAAAUUCCAAGCAAAACCAAGAGACCAAGAUGUGGGAAUAUUCAAGAGCAAAGAAAAGGAAUGAGAAGGUUUGCUAGUCACUGAGCUCCAUCUCUCUCAAACCCCUCUCUCAUUUUCAGAAACUGGAAAUUCUCCCCCAAACUGCCACUGGCCAUACAGUCUCCUUGGACCCUGGGAAGGUAUCAUUAUAAAGUCAUUCCAACAACUAAGGUUGUUCCUCCAAACCCCCACCACGCUGGCAUCUGGGCACAUGGAUCUGCACUUACCAACUCCCACACCAGGGCUAUCUAUGGUUGGGUAUUUGGCCCUGAUGCAGAAGUUAUUGCCCAGUUCUUGCAUGUAUGUAGGGUUUGUGGGCACCAACCCAGGCUUCCAUAUGGGUAUGCCUAUUUCAGUUGGACAGACACCAGAUUUGGGCUGAACAUUUUGUCCUGAAAUGGGGGAAAAAAACCCAAAAAGGCAUCCAGAUGUCAGCGUGCAGCUCAGUAUAGUUUCUGCAUGGACCCGAGGGCUGCCAAUAGGGCAGCAUUUGGAUUUCACCUUGUAGCUGACAAAGUCAUUUCAAGUCUUAUAGUUCCUGCCACUUAGGCUGAGUUCUAAGCCUGUGAGACCUUUUUAUAAUCUUUAUACUGGAGAUCAGACUAACUAACUCCUGUGUUAUGAAUUAACUGUAGCUUGUCAGACAUUUGUUUUAGGUGUGAGUAAAGAUUGGUAAUGAAACUAUUUUUUACCCUUUUUUUUGUUUCUUUGCUUUUUCUUUCUUGUAGGGUUCCCCUUUUGUUCUGAUUUUUCU
This is a long non-coding RNA of Sarcophilus harrisii (Tasmanian devil), 1506 nucleotides long. RefSeq lists it as uncharacterized. The record is from RefSeq and is a predicted model, not a curated record. NCBI's taxonomy places the organism in Eukaryota, Metazoa, Chordata, Mammalia, Dasyuromorphia, Dasyuridae. The transcript is spliced from 4 exons.